RNAcentral lists this ribosomal RNA (253 nucleotides) under uncultured bacterium. RNAcentral's name for it is "partial 16S ribosomal RNA". It matches the Rfam family "Bacterial small subunit ribosomal RNA", at positions 524 to 776 of the family's 1533-position model. The record is from RNAcentral.
UACAGAGGUCUCAAGCGUUGUUCGGAUUCAUUGGGCGUAAAGGGUGCGUAGGCGGCGCGGUAAGUCGGAUGUGAAAUCUCGGAGCUUAACUUCGAAACUGCAUUCGAUACUGCCGUGCUUGAGGACUGGAGAGGAGACUGGAAUUUACGGUGUAGCGGUGAAAUGCGUAGAUAUCGGAAGGAAGACCAGUGGCGAAGGCGGGUCUCUGGACAGUUCCUGACGCUGAGGCACGAAGGUCAGGGGAGCAAACGGG